ACUGUGCAAAGGUAGCAUAAUCAUUAGUUUCUUAAUUGGAAGCUGGAAUGAAUGGUUUGAUGAAAAAAGGACUGUCUCAUAAUAAAUGUUUUAGAAUUUUAUUUUUAAGUUAAAAAGCUUAAAUGUUUUAAAAAGACGAGAAGACCCUAUAGAGUUUGAUAUCUUAGUCGGAGCACUUUUUUUGGGGAUUACAGGGGUUUUUUGGUUAAGAUGUUUCGUUGGGGUGACGUAAAAAUUUGAUUAACUUUUUUUAGUACGAACAUUAAUUAAUGAAUAAAUGAUCCUGUUUUAUGGAUUAGUAGAUAAAAUUACCUUAGGGAUAACAGCGUAAUUUUUCUUGAGAGUUCUUAUCGAAAGAAGAGAUUGCGACCUCGAUGUUGGAUUAAAAUUAAUUUUUGGUGUAGAAGCUAAAAUAUUGGGUCUGUUCGACCUUUGAAAUUUUACAUGAUCUGAGUUUAGACCGGCGUGAGCCAGGUUGGUUUCUAUCUUUUAUUAAAGAGAAUGUCUUAGUACGAAAGGACCAGGCAUGUCAAAUUAUAUUUUAUUUUUGAAUUAUAUUGUUAUUUUGGCAGAUUAGUGCGAUAAAUUUAGAAUUUAGGUAUGUAAAUAAAUUACAGAUAACAUUGGUUAUGAAAGAUUUAAUUUUG
RNAcentral lists this ribosomal RNA (647 nucleotides) under Phloeodes plicatus. RNAcentral describes it as "partial 16S ribosomal RNA". The stretch from base 1 to 534 matches the Rfam family "Bacterial large subunit ribosomal RNA", at positions 1945 to 2925 of the family's 2925-position model. The record is from RNAcentral. Lineage: Eukaryota; Metazoa; Arthropoda; Insecta; Coleoptera; Zopheridae.